Long non-coding RNA from Gossypium raimondii (Peruvian cotton), 942 nucleotides. RefSeq lists it as uncharacterized. The transcript has 2 exons. The record is from RefSeq and is a predicted model, not a curated record. NCBI's taxonomy places the organism in Eukaryota, Viridiplantae, Streptophyta, Magnoliopsida, Malvales, Malvaceae.
UUAGGGUGUAAUUACAAGUAAUUAUACUAAAAUUCAAUUACUAGGUGGCUUUUUGAACACUAUUUGAAUCGAAAUUUGAAUAUAAAAUAAGAAAAAAAAAGGUGAAAUUUAGAUAUGAAAGCCUUAAAUAUACAUUCAUUUUAAUGGGCAUGGAUAAGAGCUUAAGAGAAAGACUCUGUUGCUGGGUUGAAGGGCCCAAAUAAAAUAAAAGUUUAGACCAUCAAACACCAAGAACGUAUCCUAACUUACCGGUAAGAUCGGAGCCCAACUCUAGUUUAGGGUUUUAACUUUUACAAUAUCUAGGGUUUUCAAAAGAAAAUACCUCUAUAUAAACCCUUCAAGGUCGCCUCUUUUCUUCAUCCUCCCAUCUUAGAACAGCCAGCCCCCCAAAGUAUAUAUAGUUCCAGUGAGCCAAUGAUGAUAUAAUCCACUUUGGAUGAGGUGCAGUGGAGCCAAGAACGAACCUACUUGGUAGAAGCUGCAAUUCAGUGGUUUUAAUGGAUUCAACUGAGGCUGUCUUUUUAAUUAAAUGCUUUUAACUUGGUGUUUCUUGGGUUUGGGUUUGGGUUUGAUUGAGUUUAACUAUACCCUAAACCCUUUGCUAUUAAUUUCGGUUUAGGGUCUGAAAAACUCAUAUAGUCAUGUGUUGUCAUCAGCUUCUUCUCUUGCACUUUUCACGAGAUUGGAGUUAAAUAACAGCACUACAUUGUUCUUUUGUUUAUUUUGCAGGUGUGGCAUGAAUUCUUAGGUUCCUGAGAAGUUGGUUGACUGUUUCCACUUUUAAAUUGUGUAUUUUGUAGGCCAUUGUAUUAUUGUGUGUUUCUUAAUUGUAAUGAAGUGCAAAGAUGAUCUAUUACUUCUCAGACGGAGCUCUUUCUAUUGUGCUCUCUAUCAUGUUUUUCACAGCGCAAUAAAAAUAAAAAAGGGUAAAACUGAAGUUAA